RNAcentral lists this ribosomal RNA (894 nucleotides) under Escherichia coli. RNAcentral describes it as "partial 23S ribosomal RNA". It matches the Rfam family "Bacterial large subunit ribosomal RNA", at positions 606 to 1504 of the family's 2925-position model. The record is from RNAcentral. Lineage: Bacteria; Pseudomonadati; Pseudomonadota; Gammaproteobacteria; Enterobacterales; Enterobacteriaceae.
UUUUGUAUAAUGGGUCAGCGACUUAUAUUCUGUAGCAAGGUUAACCGAAUAGGGGAGCCGAAGGGAAACCGAGUCUUAACUGGGCGUUAAGUUGCAGGGUAUAGACCCGAAACCCGGUGAUCUAGCCAUGGGCAGGUUGAAGGUUGGGUAACACUAACUGGAGGACCGAACCGACUAAUGUUGAAAAAUUAGCGGAUGACUUGUGGCUGGGGGUGAAAGGCCAAUCAAACCGGGAGAUAGCUGGUUCUCCCCGAAAGCUAUUUAGGUAGCGCCUCGUGAAUUCAUCUCCGGGGGUAGAGCACUGUUUCGGCAAGGGGGUCAUCCCGACUUACCAACCCGAUGCAAACUGCGAAUACCGGAGAAUGUUAUCACGGGAGACACACGGCGGGUGCUAACGUCCGUCGUGAAGAGGGAAACAACCCAGACCGCCAGCUAAGGUCCCAAAGUCAUGGUUAAGUGGGAAACGAUGUGGGAAGGCCCAGACAGCCAGGAUGUUGGCUUAGAAGCAGCCAUCAUUUAAAGAAAGCGUAAUAGCUCACUGGUCGAGUCGGCCUGCGCGGAAGAUGUAACGGGGCUAAACCAUGCACCGAAGCUGCGGCAGCGACGCUUAUGCGUUGUUGGGUAGGGGAGCGUUCUGUAAGCCUGUGAAGGUGUGCUGUGAGGCAUGCUGGAGGUAUCAGAAGUGCGAAUGCUGACAUAAGUAACGAUAAAGCGGGUGAAAAGCCCGCUCGCCGGAAGACCAAGGGUUCCUGUCCAACGUUAAUCGGGGCAGGGUGAGUCGACCCCUAAGGCGAGGCCGAAAGGCGUAGUCGAUGGGAAACAGGUUAAUAUUCCUGUACUUGGUGUUACUGCGAAGGGGGGACGGAGAAGGCUAUGUUGGCCGGGCGACGGUUG